GGAUUAGAUACCCUGGUAGUCCACGCCCUAAACGAUGUCAACUAGCCGUUGGAGGAAUUUAAUCCUUUAGUGGCGCAGCUAACGCGUUAAGUUGACCGCCUGGGGAGUACGGCCGCAAGGUUAAAACUCAAAGGAAUUGACGGGGGCCCGCACAAGCGGUGGAGCAUGUGGUUUAAUUCGAUGCAACGCGAAGAACCUUACCAGGCCUUGACAUCCUCGGAACUUUCUAGAGAUAGAUUGGUGCCUUCGGGAACCGAGUGACAGGUGCUGCAUGGCUGUCGUCAGCUCGUGUUG
Molecule: ribosomal RNA, 294 nt
Filed under: uncultured bacterium
Lineage: Bacteria
Description: partial 16S ribosomal RNA
Rfam family: Bacterial small subunit ribosomal RNA
Source: RNAcentral